AGUGAACGCUGGCGGUAGGCCUAACACAUGCAAGUCGAACGGCAGCACAGUAAGAGCUUGCUCUUACGGGUGGCGAGUGGCGGACGGGUGAGGAAUACAUCGGAAUCUACUUUUUCGUGGGGGAUAACGUAGGGAAACUUACGCUCAUACCGCAUAUGACCUACGGGUGAAAGCAGUGGAUCUUCGGACCUUGUGCGAUUGAAUGAGCCGAUGUUGGAUUAGAUAGUUGGCGGGGUAAAGGCCCACCAAGGCGGCGAUCCGUAGCUGGUCUGGGUGGAUGAUCGGCCACAUUGGAACUGGGACACGGUCCAGACGCCUGCGGGAGGGAGCAGUGGGGAAUAUUAGACAAUAGGGGCAAGCCUGAUCCAGCCAUACCGCGUGGGUGGAGAAGGCGUUCGGGUUGUGAAGACCUUUUGUUGGGAAAGAAAAGCAGCAGCUUAAUACCCCGCUUUUCUGACGGUACCCAAAGAAGAAGCACCGGCUAACUUCGUG
Molecule: ribosomal RNA, 492 nt
Filed under: uncultured bacterium
Lineage: Bacteria
Description: partial 16S ribosomal RNA
Rfam family: Bacterial small subunit ribosomal RNA
Source: RNAcentral